UGGGGAAUAUUGCACAAUGGGCGCAAGCCUGAUGCAGCAACGCCGCGUGAGGGACGACGGCCUUCGGGUUGUAAACCUCUUUUAGUAGGGAAGAAGCGAAAGUGACGGUACCUGCAGAAAAAGCACCGGCUAACUACGUGCCAGCAGCCGCGGUAAUACGUAGGGUGCGAGCGUUGUCCGGAAUUAUUGGGCGUAAAGAGCUCGUAGGCGGUCUGUCGCGUCUGCUGUGAAAACCCGAGGCUCAACCUCGGGCCUGCAGUGGGUACGGGCAGACUAGAGUGCGGUAGGGGAGAAUGGAAUUCCUGGUGUAGCGGUGGAAUGCGCAGAUAUCAGGAGGAACACCGAUGGCGAAGGCAGUUCUCUGGGCCGUAACUGACGCUGAGGAGCGAAAGCGUGGGGAGCGAACAGGAUUAGAUACCCUGGUAGUCCACGCCGUAAACGUUGGGCGCUAGAUGUGGGGCACCAUUCCACGGUUUCCGUGUCGCAGCUAACGCAUUAAGCGCCCC
Molecule: ribosomal RNA, 506 nt
Filed under: uncultured bacterium
Lineage: Bacteria
Description: partial 16S ribosomal RNA
Rfam family: Bacterial small subunit ribosomal RNA
Source: RNAcentral